This 232-nucleotide ribosomal RNA is filed under the name uncultured bacterium. RNAcentral describes it as "partial 16S ribosomal RNA". It matches the Rfam family "Bacterial small subunit ribosomal RNA", at positions 524 to 755 of the family's 1533-position model. The record is from RNAcentral.
UACGUAGGGUGCAAGCGUUGUCCGGAAUUAUUGGGCGUAAAGAGCUCGUAGGCGGUCUGUCACGUCGGCUGUGAAAUCCCGAGGCUCAACCUCGGGUCUGCAGUCGAUACGGGGCAACUAGAGUAUUGCAGGGGAGACUGGAAUUCCUGGUGUAGCGGUGAAAUGCGCAGAUAUCAGGAGGAACACCGGUGGCGAAGGCGGGUCUCUGGACGAGUUCCUGACGCUGGAGGCA